This is a long non-coding RNA of Hyaena hyaena (striped hyena), 1397 nucleotides long. RefSeq lists it as uncharacterized. The record is from RefSeq and is a predicted model, not a curated record. Lineage: Eukaryota; Metazoa; Chordata; Mammalia; Carnivora; Hyaenidae. The transcript has 5 exons.
CAUCGCGCGGGGGCCCGCCAAGCCGGUCCCGGGACACCUGUCCGGGGCCCGGAGGGGGCCGGAGCCGAGUGCCCCUCAGCCGGGGGGCGGGAGGCAGGCGCGCCGCGCGGGGCUGCGGGGAGCUCAGCGCCCACGGCGGCUCCCCCGGGUCGGUCUGGCAGGACCUGCGGCCUCCGGGGCUCGGGAGCCGAAGCGGGUUGUACGUUGAUGAGGUCACAGAGCGGCACGCGGAGCGGGGUGGGGGCAGAGGGUGAGGUCACAGAAGGAUGCUUACAGCUGGGGAGCCCCCCCCCGGGGGGGGGCAGGCCGGAGGCGGACCGGGUCACCUGGCACAGGACGGCCGCCCGGACGCGCCAGGCCCCGCGGCUUCAUUGGAACUUUGGAGGCGGCGGAGGGGAAAUCGGGGGAAAACACGCACCCGCUUCGACCUCCAGACGGAGCCGGGGCUCGCGUGACGUUCUGUUCGCCGCAGGCUUCGAGAGCGAGACCGUGUGCGGCUUCGUCUCACUUCCUUGCCGCUGCUUGGCUUUCCCUGUCCGCCUGCCUUUGCCUCCUUACCCACCUUACCCGUUCGUGCCGUCCACCUGGGGCCCAUCGGGCUGUUGGGUGUUCAGGCUGCAGGUGUGAUGCUGCUCCUUCCGGUGAUGAUGACGCCACUGAGCUGGUCCAGGCAGGUGGAGACCAGGGAGGGAAGACGCUGACAACCUGCGAACUAUAGAAGCGUCUGCAGCUGAGGGAAAGGGGCCAGGCUCCCCGCGGUGCGGAAGGGCGAGCCCCGCGGGGCUGACUAUCUUGGUUGGUAGAAAUGUUCCUGAGGAGAUGUUGUCUGAAGACUAUGGACCAAUAUUUUGACCUCUCUUGAUUUUGGAGGCUCUAUUAGAAACAGCGCGGACUCUUACUCCAACAUGACUGGUGUCCUUACGUGAAGAGAAGAGACACACACACAGAGAACAUCAUGUGAGGGCACGGAGGUGAGAGGGAAGAUGGCCAUUGGAGUCAUGUACCUACAGCCAAGGUCCCCAAGGAUUAUGGGUAACCACUGGGAGCUGAGAGGCAGGGAAUGCGUUCUUCCUUGAAGCCCACCACAGGGAACCAGCCCUGUCAACACAUCGAUUUGGGACUUCUAGCUGCCAGGGCUUUGCCUGCCUGCCCUUUUUGUGUUUAUCUUGUUAAGCACUGCCAGGCUUAAAAUACAGACCCCUAGAGGGCAAGAUUCAUAUCUAUAUGGAAUGUGCUGUAGAACGACUCAUGCCUCAUACUCUUAUGCACAAAUUAUUUUUGAAGAACCUAGUUGCUUCCUUUGAAGACUUCUCUCCAGCAGGAGUGACUUGCAAUUUGCAGUGACACUUAAAUCCUCCUGAGUGCUGAAGACGUAUACUGAAAUAAAUUAUACUGAA